RNAcentral lists this ribosomal RNA (513 nucleotides) under uncultured bacterium. RNAcentral's name for it is "partial 16S ribosomal RNA". It matches the Rfam family "Bacterial small subunit ribosomal RNA", at positions 28 to 507 of the family's 1533-position model. The record is from RNAcentral.
GACGAACGCUGGCGGCGUGCUUAACACAUGCAAGUCGAACGAGAGCGUAGAGAAAGCUUGCUUUUUCUACAAUCUAGUGGCAAACGGGUGAGUAACGCGUAAACAACCUGCCCUACGGAUGGGGACAACAGCUGGAAACGGCUGCUAAUACCGAAUACGUUCCGAAAGUCGCAUGACUAUCGGAAGAAAGGAUGGCCUCUAUUUAUAAGCUAUCGCCGGAGGAGGGGUUUGCGUCUGAUUAGCUAGUUGGAGGGGUAACGGCCCACCAAGGCGACGAUCAGUAGCCGGUCUGAGAGGAUGAACGGCCACAUUGGAACUGAGACACGGUCCAGACUCCUACGGGAGGCAGCAGUGGGGAAUCUUCCGCAAUGGGCGAAAGCCUGACGGAGCAACGCCGCGUGAGUGAAGACGGCCUUCGGGUUGUAAAGCUCUGUUAUACGGGACGAAUAAUCUUGUGGUUAAUACCCAUGAGAAGUGACGGUACCGUAAGAGAGAGCCACGGCUAACUACGUG